This 460-nucleotide ribosomal RNA is filed under the name uncultured bacterium. RNAcentral's name for it is "SSU rRNA". It matches the Rfam family "Bacterial small subunit ribosomal RNA", at positions 26 to 518 of the family's 1533-position model. The record is from RNAcentral.
AGAACGAACGCUGGCGGCAUGCCUAACACAUGCAAGUCGAACGCUCUUGGGGCUUCGGUUCCAAGGGAGUGGCGCACGGGUGAGUAGCGCGUGGGAACCUGCCCUGGAGUGGGGGAUAACCGAGGGAAACUUCGGCUAAUACCGCAUGCGCCCGGGAAACCGGGGAAAGAUUUAUCGCUCUAGGAGGGGCCCGCGUCGGAUUAGCUAGUUGGUGGGGUAACGGCCUACCAAGGCUUUGAUCCGUAGCUGGUCUGAGAGGAUGAUCAGCCACACUGGGACUGAGACACGGCCCAGACUCCUACGGGAGGCAGCAGUGGGGAAUAUUGGACAAUGGGCGCAAGCCUGAUCCAGCAAUGCCGCGUGAGUGAUGAAGGCCUUCGGGUUGUAAAGCUCUUUCGCACGCGAGGAUGAUGACGCUAGCGUGAGAAGAAGCCCCGGCUAACUUCGUGCCAGCAGCCGC